UCGAGCGAACAGAUAAGGAGCUUGCUCCUUUGACGUUAGCGGCGGACGGGUGAGUAACACGUGGGUAACCUACCUAUAAGACUGGGAUAACUUCGGGAAACCGGAGCUAAUACCGGAUAACAUUUGGAACCGCAUGGUUCUAAAGUGAAAGAUGGUUUUGCUAUCACUUAUAGAUGGACCCGCGCCGUAUUAGCUAGUUGGUAAGGUAACGGCUUACCAAGGCGACGAUACGUAGCCGACCUGAGAGGGUGAUCGGCCACACUGGAACUGAGACACGGUCCAGACUCCUACGGGAGGCAGCAGUAGGGAAUCUUCCGCAAUGGGCGAAAGCCUGACGGAGCAACGCCGCGUGAGUGAUGAAGGGUUUCGGCUCGUAAAACUCUGUUAUUAGGGAAGAACAAAUGUGUAAGUAACUGUGCACGUCUUGACGGUACCUAAUCAGAAAGCCACGGCUAACUACGUGCCAGCAGCCGCGGUAAUACGUAGGUGGCAAGCGUUAUCCGGAAUUAUUGGGCGUAAAGCGCGCGUAGGCGGUUUCUUAAGUCUGAUGUGAAAGCCCACGGCUCAACCGUGGAGGGUCAUUGGAAACUGGGAAACUUGAGUGCAGAAGAGGAAAGUGGAAUUCCAUGUGUAGCGGUGAAAUGCGCAGAGAUAUGGAGGAACACCAGUGGCGAAGGCGACUUUCUGGUCUGUAACUGACGCUGAUGUGCGAAAGCGUGGGGAUCAAACAGGAUUAGAUACCCUGGUAGUCCACGCCGUAAACGAUGAGUGCUAAGUGUUAGGGGGUUUCCGCCCCUUAGUGCUGCAGCUAACGCAUUAAGCACUCCGCCUGGGGAGUACGACCGCAAGGUUGAAACUCAAAGGAAUUGACGGGGACCCGCACAAGCGGUGGAGCAUGUGGUUUAAUUCGAAGCAACGCGAAGAACCUUACCAAAUCUUGACAUCCUUUGAAAACUCUAGAGAUAGAGCCUUCCCCUUCGGGGGACAAAGUGACAGGUGGUGCAUGGUUGUCGUCAGCUCGUGUCGUGAGAUGUUGGGUUAAGUCCCGCAACGAGCGCAACCCUUAAGCUUAGUUGCCAUCAUUAAGUUGGGCACUCUAGGUUGACUGCCGGUGACAAACCGGAGGAAGGUGGGGAUGACGUCAAAUCAUCAUGCCCCUUAUGAUUUGGGCUACACACGUGCUACAAUGGACAAUACAAAGGGCAGCUAAACCGCGAGGUCAUGCAAAUCCCAUAAAGUUGUUCUCAGUUCGGAUUGUAGUCUGCAACUCGACUACAUGAAGCUGGAAUCGCUAGUAAUCGUAGAUCAGCAUGCUACGGUGAAUACGUUCCCGGGUCUUGUACACACCGCCCGUCACACCACGAGAGUUUGUAACACCCGAAGCCGGUGGAGUAACCAUUUAUGGAGCUAGCCG
This 1414-nucleotide ribosomal RNA is filed under the name Staphylococcus saprophyticus. Its description in RNAcentral is "bacterial SSU rRNA". It matches the Rfam family "Bacterial small subunit ribosomal RNA". Lineage: Bacteria; Bacillati; Bacillota; Bacilli; Caryophanales; Staphylococcaceae. The record is from RNAcentral.